Molecule: ribosomal RNA, 460 nt
Filed under: uncultured bacterium
Lineage: Bacteria
Description: partial 16S ribosomal RNA
Rfam family: Bacterial small subunit ribosomal RNA
Source: RNAcentral
CCUACGGGCGGCAGCAGUGAGGAAUAUUGGUCAAUGGACGAGAGUCUGAACCAGCCAAGUAGCGUGAAGGAUGACUGCCCUAUGGGUUGUAAACUUCUUUUAUAAAGGAAUAAAACGAGGCACGUGUGCCUUUUUGCAUGUACUUUAUGAAUAAGGAUCGGCUAACUCCGUGCCAGCAGCCGCGGUAAUACGGAGGAUCCGAGCGUUAUCCGGAUUUAUUGGGUUUAAAGGGAGCGUAGAUGGGUUGUUAAGUCAGUUGUGAAAGUUUGCGGCUCAACCGUAAAAUUGCAAUUGAUACUGGCAGUCGUGAGUACAGUUGAGGUAGGCGGAAUGCGUGGUGUAGCGGUGAAAUGCUUAGAUAUCACGAAGAACCCCGAUUGCGAAGGCAGCUUACUAAACUGUGACUGACAUUGAUGCUCGAAAGUGUGGGUAUCAAACAGGAUUAGAUACCCCUGUAGUC